AUUCGCCUGCUUAUUGGUUGUACUUGGACCACAGGCAGUCAAUUCGCAAGUACGCGUCAACCGAAAUCAUCACUAAAACGAUUUAGCACAGACAAACGUAUUUUUGCAACCCGUAUACACUUUACUUUCUUCGAGAUGGAUGCAAGUAACGAUCAAGCCGGGGUACUGAUGGGCAAUGACGGGAGACGUAAAGCCGAGCUGGAGCAAACAGCUGAGGAUGCAGUCCACAUCGGUUCUUCUGACCAGCCAACACAGGUUCCUACCAACAGUUAUGGAGCCCCUGGCAGUGACAUCUUGACUGACGGAAAAAAGAAGUGUACGAUCCUUUAACUGUAACAAGCUAGUUUGAAAUAGAUGUUGGCA
This is a long non-coding RNA of Lineus longissimus, 363 nucleotides long. RefSeq lists it as uncharacterized. The record is from RefSeq and is a predicted model, not a curated record. NCBI's taxonomy places the organism in Eukaryota, Metazoa, Nemertea, Pilidiophora, Heteronemertea, Lineidae. The transcript is spliced from 3 exons.